AACCUGGUUGAUCUUGCCAGUAGUCAUAUGCUUGUCUCACAGAUUAAGCCAUGCAAGUGAAAGUACAUAUGUAAAUAAUAUAUUGAAACUGCGAACGGCUCAUUAAAACAGUUAUAAUCUACUUGAUGUUUUUAAUAUAAGGAUAACUACGGAAAAUCUGUAGCUAAUACUUGUGAAAAUACCUUUUGAUAUAUACAUAUGUAUGUAUCAUUAAGGUAUGUAUUUGUUAGAUAUAAGAAUAAAAUAAAUAUAAUUGAAUUAUAACAAAGAAGAAACACAUAAAAUAUGUGUAUUAUCAAUCGAGUAUCUGACCUAUCAGCUUUUGAUGUUAGGGUAUUGACCUAACAUGGCUAUGACGGGUAACGGGGAAUUAGAGUUCGAUUCCGGAGAGGGAGCCUGAGAAAUAGCUACCACAUCUAAGGAAGGCAGCAGGCGCGUAAAUUACCCAAUUCUAAAAAAGAGAGGUAGUGACAAGAAAUAACAAUACAAUAUCGAAAAAUGAUUUUGUAAUUGGAAUGAUAGGAAUUUACAAGGUUCCUAGAGAAACAAUUGGAGGGCAAGUCUGGUGCCAGCAGCCGCGGUAAUUCCAGCUCCAAUAGCAUAUAUUAAAAUUGUUGCAGUUAAAACGUUCGUAGUUGAAUAUUAAAGAAUCCGAUGUUUCAUUUAAACUGGUUUGGGAAAACCAAAUAUAUUAUAUAUUUUGCUUUGUUCAAAAUAAGGUUUUCUAAUAAAUUAUGUUUUUAUCAGAUAUGACAGAAUCUUUUUUAAAAUCUCUUCAAUAUGCUUUUAUUGCUUUUGAGAGGUUUUGUUACUUUGAGUAAAAUUAAGUGUUCAUAACAGACGGGUAGUCAUGAUUGAGUUCAUUGUGUUUGAAUACUACAGCAUGGAAUAACAAAUAUGAAUAAGCUAAUUAUUUUUUUUUUCAUAAUUUUUUUUGAUAUUCUUAUUAGCUUAGUUACGAUUAAUAGGAGUAGCUUUGGGGGCAUUCGUAUUCAGAUGUCAGAGGUGAAAUUCUAAGAUUUUCUGGAGACGGACUACUGCGAAAGCAUUUGCCUAAUCUAUUUCCAUUAAUCAAGAACGAAAGUUAAGGGAGUGAAGACGAUCAGAUACCGUCGUAAUCUUAACCAUAAACUAUACCGACUAGGUGUUGGAUGAAUAUAAAAAAUAUAUAAAUAUGUAGCAUUUCUUAGGGAAUGUUGAUUUUAUAUUAGAAUUGCUUCCUUCAGUACCUUAUGAGAAAUCAAAGUCUUUGGGUUCUGGGGCGAGUAUUCGCGCAAGCGAGAAAGUUAAAAGAAUUGACGGAAGGGCACCACCAGGCGUGGAGCUUGCGGCUUAAUUUGACUCAACACGGGAAAACUCACUAGUUUAAGACAAGAGUAGGAUUGACAGAUUAAUAGCUCUUUCUUGAUUUCUUGGAUGGUGAUGCAUGGCCGUUUUUAGUUCGUGAAUAUGAUUUGUCUGGUUAAUUCCGAUAACGAACGAGAUCUUAACCUGCUAAUUAGCGGUAAGUACACUAUAUUUUUAUUUGAAAUUGAAUAUAGGUAAUUAUACAUGUUUAUUCAGUGUUCAAAUUAGGAUAUUUUUUUAUUAAAAUAUUCUUUUCCCUGUUCUACUAUAAUAAUUUGUUUUUUUUACUCUAUUUCUCUCUUCUUUUAAGAAUGUACUUGUUUGAUUAAAUAAAGCUUCUUAGAGGAACAGUGUGUAUCUAACACAAGGAAGUUUAAGGCAACAACAGGUCUGUGAUGUCCUUAGAUAAACUAGGCUGCACGCGUGCUACAAUGAUAUAUAUAACAAGUUGUUAAAAAUGUACUUAUAAAUAAGUGUGUACAGUUUUUCCUGUACUGAAAAGUAUAGGUAAUCUUUAUCAGUAUAUAUCGUAAUUGGGAUAGAUUAUUGCAAUUAUUAAUCUUGAACGAGGAAUGCCUAGUAAGCAUGAUUCAUUAGAUUGUGCUGACUACGUCCCUGCCCUUUGUACACACCGCCCGUCGCUCCUACCGAUUGAAAGAUAUGAUGAAUUGUUUGGAUAUGAAUUAAAAUAAUGAAAUUUUAUAUUUCUGAUUUUUUCUAGAAGAACUGUAAAUCCUAUCUUUUAAAGGAAGGAGAAGUCGUAACAAGGUUUCCGUAGGUGAACCUGCGGAAGGAUCAUUA
RNAcentral lists this ribosomal RNA (2148 nucleotides) under Plasmodium falciparum NF54. Its description in RNAcentral is "SSU rRNA". It matches the Rfam family "Eukaryotic small subunit ribosomal RNA". Lineage: Eukaryota; Apicomplexa; Aconoidasida; Haemosporida; Plasmodiidae. The record is from RNAcentral.